AGAAUUUGAUCUUGGUUCAGAUUGAACGCUGACGGCGUGGAUGAGGCAUGCAAGUCGCACGAACAAACCACUUCGGUGGGAUGUUAGUGGCGAAAGGGUUAGUAAUACAUGGGUAACGCAACUCUGACUUUGGAAUAACGCCUGGAAACGGGCGCUAAUACCGAAUGAGGUGGAGUAAGGCAUCUUACUUUUAUCAAAGGAGGGGAUCUUCGGACCUUCUGGUGAGAGAGCGGCCCAUGAGAUAUCAGCUUGUUGGUGUGGUAAUGGCGCACCAAGGCUAAGACGUCUAGGCGGAUUGAGAGAUUGACCGCCAACACUGGGACUGAGACACUGCCCAGACUCCUACGGGAGGCUGCAGUCGAGAAUCAUUCGCAAUGGGCGAAAGCCUGACGAUGCGACGCCGUGUGAACGAAGAAGGCCCUCGGGUUGUAAAGUUCUUUCGCCUGGGAGCAAGAGAUGUCGAUUAAUACUCGGCAAAUUUGAGAGUACCAGGUAAAGAAGCACCGGCUAACUCCGUGCCAGCAGCUGCGGUAAUACGGAGGGUGCAAGCGUUAAUCGGAUUUAUUGGGCGUAAAGAGCGCGUAGGCGGGAAUGCAAGUCAGAUGUGAAAUCCCGGAGCUUAACUCCGGAACUGCAUUAGAAACUGCAUUUCUUGAGGGUAGGCGGAGAAAACGGAAUUCCAUGUGUAGCGGUGAAAUGCGUAGAUAUAUGGAAGAACACCAGUGGCGAAGGCGGUUUUCUAGCUUACUCCUGACGCUGAGGCGCGAAAGCAAGGGGAGCGAACAGGAUUAGAUACCCUGGUAGUCCUUGCCGUAAACGAUGCAUACUAGGUGUAGCCGGACUCAACCCUGGCUGUGCCGUAGCUAACGUGUUAAGUAUGCCGCCUGGGGAGUACGCUCGCAAGGGUGAAACUCAAAAGAAUUGACGGGGACCCGCACAAGCAGUGGAGCAUGUGGUUUAAUUCGAUGCAACGCGAAGAACCUUACCCAGACUUGACAUGUAGCGGACAGCCGUAGAAAUACGGUCUCCCAUAGUGGUCGCUACACAGGUGCUGCAUGGCUGUCGUCAGCUCGUGCCGUGAGGUGUUGGGUUAAGUCCCGCAACGAGCGCAACCCUUGUCACUAGUUGCCAGCAUGUAAUGAUGGGAACUCUAGUGAGACUGCCCGGGUUAACCGGGAGGAAGGUGAGGAUGACGUCAAGUCCGCAUGGCCCUUAUGUCUGGGGCUACACACGUGCUACAAUGGCCGGUACAGAGGGCAGCAAAGCCGCAAGGUGAAGCAAAUCUCAUAAAACCGGUCCCAGUUCGGAUUGUAGUCUGCAACUCGACUACAUGAAGUUGGAAUUGCUAGUAAUGGCGUGUCAGCAAUAACGCCGUGAAUACGUUCCCGGGUCUUGUACACACCGCCCGUCACAUCAUGGAAGUUGGUUUCACCCGAAGCCGCUGACUCAACCGCAAGGAGAGAGGCGUCGAAGGUGGGGCUGAUAACUGGGAUGAAGUCGUAACAAGGUAGCCCUAUCGGAAGGUGGGGCUGGAUCACCU
Molecule: ribosomal RNA, 1540 nt
Filed under: Chlamydiales bacterium SCGC AG-110-P3
Lineage: Bacteria; Pseudomonadati; Chlamydiota; Chlamydiia; Chlamydiales
Description: bacterial SSU rRNA
Rfam family: Bacterial small subunit ribosomal RNA
Source: RNAcentral